UACGGAGGAUGCAAGCGUUAUCCGGAAUUAUUGGGCGUAAAGCGUCCGCAGGUGGCACUUCAAGUCUGCUGUCAAAGACCGGGGCUUAACCCUGGAGAGGCAGUGGAAACUGAAGCGCUAGAGUGUGGCAGGGGUAGAGGGAAUUCCCGGUGUAGCGGUGAAAUGCGUAGAGAUCGGGAAGAACACCAACGGCGAAAGCACUCUGCUGGGCCGAAACUGACACUGAGGGACGAAAGCUAGGGGAGCGAAAGGG
RNAcentral lists this ribosomal RNA (253 nucleotides) under uncultured bacterium. Its description in RNAcentral is "partial 16S ribosomal RNA". It matches the Rfam family "Bacterial small subunit ribosomal RNA", at positions 524 to 776 of the family's 1533-position model. The record is from RNAcentral.